This is a long non-coding RNA of Callithrix jacchus (white-tufted-ear marmoset), 1818 nucleotides long. RefSeq lists it as uncharacterized. NCBI's taxonomy places the organism in Eukaryota, Metazoa, Chordata, Mammalia, Primates, Cebidae. The record is from RefSeq and is a predicted model, not a curated record.
CAUUGAGCAGAUGACUAAUAGAAAACAAGGAAGUGAAUGCAAUAAGCAAGUGAUAUGAAAAUUAUGGGAAGAGAGAGGUUCAUGCUGUCUGGGGAAACAAAUUAGUAGAUGAGGUAGCAUUUCUGCCUAACCCUGAAGAAUGAGCAGGACCUGGCCUGGGAAGAUGGGAAGAGAGAGACACCAGUGUAGACAAACAAGUCUAGAGCUGUUCAGAGAAUUCCACUUCUAGUCCUCAUGAAUCUGGCAAUUGAGACCUUGGAGAAGCUUGGUAAAUGGCUCUGAGACUAAGGAGAAACUAUAUGCUCUGCAAUUCUGAAGCUGCUCUUGUCAGACGGCAUGUUUUAGAUUGUGCUGAAAUGGCUAAGUUUUCCCUAAGUUGGCAAAAAAAGAAAUCCAUUCCAUGUGGCUGGAAUCAGGCCCACUGAGAUUUUCACCAAGGGCAAAAAUACCUUGCAUGUGUAUCAAAAGCAGUUGGAUGAAACUGGCUCUAUUUUUCUCCAGCAACACCAUCAGACUAACGGCAUUCCAGCCAAUUCGUUGGCAUGGUUCUCUUUGGUGUGCAUCAGAAGGCCCAACUGAAGCUGGACUCAAAUUCCUGUCCUCUUCUUCUGGAUUCUAAAUCUGAAGACCUCAUACUACUGUUCAUAUGGUCAUUCAGCAAAGGUUUAUUUUGCGCUUACAGUUCAUGGGUCACUGUGUUGGGCAUUAGGAAUUCAAAGAUGAGUAAGACAUGGUCUUUAUAUUUAAAGUGCUCACCUUCAUGUCUAGAGAAGGAAGCAAAUAUCUUCCUAGAUUGUCCUCAUUUUGGGAGAGAGAUCAACCUCACUUAGAAUGGUAUGCAGUGCUGCCCUACUGUACACCUCUGGUGGGGUUAUGCAUCUGAUAUUCUACGUGACUUACAGCCCAUAGGAAACUGUGUCAACAAUACCCUGGAGAUGUGCAAAGAAGCUGCUCUGAGAGGGGUCCCCAAAAGGCUUCCUAGAAGAUGAGACACUUGGGCUUUGAAAAGAUGAGUGAUGGAUGUUGCAGAGAAUAACCCAAGCAAAGGAACACAACUAUGUAACUAUCAAUAAGCAAAGUCAGAAUUCAGUGGACAAGUCCGGGCGCGGUGGCUCAAGCCUGUAAUCCCAGCACUUUGGGAGGCCGAGGCAAGUGGAUCACGAGGUCAAGAGAUUGAGACCAUCCUGGCCAACAUGGCGAAACCCCAUCUCUACUAAAAAUACAAAAAUUAGCUGGGGGUAGUGGCACGCACCUGUAGUCCCAGCUACUCAGGAGGCUGGGGCAAGAGAAUUGCUUGAACCUGGGAGGCUGAGGUGGCAGUGAGCCGAGACAGUGCCACUGAACUCCAGCCUGGUACCUGGCGACAGAGUGAGACUCUGUCUAAAAAAAAAAAAAAAAAAAAAAUUCAGUGGACAAGAAGUGUGGUAAGUGCAGAAGGAGGCAGAAGCCAGAUAGCAAGUGUCUUGCACGCCAUAUCAAGGAGUUUGAAAUGCAUCUGUCUAGUGCUAGAAAGACUCUUUACAGGGCUUUAACUGUGACUUGUGUUUUUGAAUGUUCACUUUGAAAUCAGUGUGGAAAAUGAACUUGUUUAUGAAAGGAUUAAAGGGGUGGGCUGGAGAACAGGGAGAUUAGUUAGGAGGCUAUUGAAAUAGCCCAGUAGAGAAGUGAUGGAAAUUUGAGUUAAGAUAAUGAGUUGAUUAGUACUCCCCUCCGGGGAGGGCCAGCGGGGGGAGGAGCUGGGAAGGGAUAGCCUGGGGAGAAAUGCCAAAUGGGUGAAGGGGAGAAAGGAAGCAAAACACACUGCCACGUGUGUACCUA